RNAcentral lists this ribosomal RNA (399 nucleotides) under uncultured bacterium. RNAcentral's name for it is "bacterial SSU rRNA". It matches the Rfam family "Bacterial small subunit ribosomal RNA", at positions 191 to 587 of the family's 1533-position model. The record is from RNAcentral.
AGGCCUCUGAUACAAGCUUUCGCCUUAAGAUGAGCCCAUGGCCCAUCAGCUAGUUGGUAGGGUAAAGGCCUACCAAGGCUACGACGGGUCGCUGGUCUGAGAGGACGACCAGCCACACUGGCACUGAGAUACGGGCCAGACUCCUACGGGAGGCAGCAGUGAGGAAUAUUGCGCAAUGGGGGAAACCCUGACGCAGCAACGCCGCGUGUGGGAAGAAGGCCUUCGGGUCGUAAACCACUUUUGCACGGGACGAAAAAGGGAUAUCGAACAAAUAUCCCCGAUGACGGUACCGUGAGAAUAAGCCACGGCUAACUCUGUGCCAGCAGCCGCGGUAAGACAGAGGUGGCAAGCGUUGUUCGGAAUUACUGGGCGUAAAGAGUCUGUAGGUGGUUUGUCAAG